GACGAACGCUGGCGGCGUGCUUAACACAUGCAAGUCGAACGCUGAAGCUCAGCUUUUGUUGGGUGGAUGAGUGGCGAACGGGUGAGUAACACGUGAGUAACCUGCCCCCUUCUUUGGGAUAACGCCCGGAAACGGGUGCUAAUACUGGAUAUUCACUGGUCUUCGCAUGGGGGUUGGUGGAAAGGGUUUUUCUGGUGGGGGAUGGGCUCGCGGCCUAUCAGCUUGUUGGUGGGGUGAUGGCCUACCAAGGCUUUGACGGGUAGCCGGCCUGAGAGGGUGACCGGUAACAUUGGGACUGAGAUACGGCCCAGACUCCUACGGGAGGCAGCAGUGGGGAAUAAUGCAAAAUGGGCGCAAGCCUGAUGCAGCGACGCCGCGUGAGGGAUGGAGGCCUUCGGGUUGUGAACCUCUUUCGCUCAUGGUCAAGCCGCAACAAUGGUUGUGGUGAGGGUAGUGGGUAAAGAAGCGCCGGCUAACUACGUG
RNAcentral lists this ribosomal RNA (483 nucleotides) under uncultured bacterium. Its description in RNAcentral is "partial 16S ribosomal RNA". It matches the Rfam family "Bacterial small subunit ribosomal RNA", at positions 28 to 507 of the family's 1533-position model. The record is from RNAcentral.